Molecule: unclassified non-coding RNA, 240 nt
Filed under: soil metagenome
Description: partial contains 5.8S ribosomal RNA, internal transcribed spacer 2, and large subunit ribosomal RNA
Source: RNAcentral
AACUGAUACUACCUGCGGGAACCUGCGGAAGGAUCAUUACCAAGAGAAAUCUUUCAACACUGAAAGAUCUUUUCCUUUGUGCUGGCUUUGACCGUAUGUAAUUUUGGGACUUUAAAAUGGUUCGCAAGGGCCGGUCCCAAAAACAAUAUAUCAUCCUUAUGAAAUUUUUUCUGAACAAUUAAACAAAUGAUUUUAAUAAUCUGUUUAAAACAACUUUCAACAACGGAUCUCUAGAUCGGA